This 853-nucleotide ribosomal RNA is filed under the name uncultured bacterium. Its description in RNAcentral is "bacterial SSU rRNA". It matches the Rfam family "Bacterial small subunit ribosomal RNA", at positions 56 to 906 of the family's 1533-position model. The record is from RNAcentral.
UGCAGUCGAGGGGCAGCGCAGUGUAGCAAUACAUGGGCGGCGACCGGCAAACGGGUGCGGAACACGUACGCAACCUUCCUUCAAGCGGGGCAUAGCUUUCGGAAACGAAAAUUAAUACCCCAUAGAAUUAUCUGAGGGCAUCUGAGGAUAAUUAAAGAUUUAUCACUUGAAGAUGGGCGUGCGCCUGAUUAGGUAGUUGGCGGGGUAACGGCCCACCAAGCCUACGAUCAGUAACUGGUGUGAGAGCACGACCAGUCACACGGGCACUGAGACACGGGCCCGACUCCUACGGGAGGCAGCAGUAAGGAAUAUUGGUCAAUGGACGCAAGUCUGAACCAGCCAUGCCGCGUGGAGGAUGAAGGUCCUCUGGAUUGUAAACUUCUUUUAUCGGAGAAGAAACCCCCGAGUUCUCUUGGGGUUGACGGUACCCGAUGAAUAAGCACCGGCUAACUCCGUGCCAGCAGCCGCGGUAAUACGGAGGGUGCAAGCGUUAUCCGGAUUCACUGGGUUUAAAGGGAGCGUAGGUGGGCUGGUAAGUCAGUGGUGAAAUCUCCGGGCUUAACUCGGAAACUGCCGUUGAUACUAUCAGUCUUGAAUGUUGUGGAGGUAAGCGGAAUAUGUCAUGUAGCGGUGAAAUGCUUAGAUAUGACAUAGAACACCGAUAGCGAAGGCAGCUUGCUACACAAUUAUUGACACUGAGGCUCGAAAGCGUGGGGAUCAAACAGGAUUAGAUACCCUGGUAGUCCACGCCCUAAACGAUGGAUACUCGACAUACGCGAUACACAGUGUGUGUCUGAGCGAAAGCAUUAAGUAUCCCACCUGGGAAGUACGACCGCAAGGUUGAAACUCAAAG